RNAcentral lists this unclassified non-coding RNA (386 nucleotides) under uncultured Trichoderma. RNAcentral's name for it is "sequence contains ITS2". The stretch from base 1 to 154 matches the Rfam family "5.8S ribosomal RNA". Lineage: Eukaryota; Fungi; Ascomycota; Sordariomycetes; Hypocreales; Hypocreaceae. The record is from RNAcentral.
AACUUUUAGCAACGGAUCACUUGGAUCUGGCAUCGAUGAAGAACGCAGCGAAAUGCGAUAAGUAAUGUGAAUUGCAGAAUUCAGUGAAUCAUCGAAUCUUUGAACGCACAUUGCGCCCGCCAGUAUUCUGGCGGGCAUGCCUGUCCGAGCGUCAUUUCAACCCUCGAACCCCUCCGGGGGGUCGGCGUUGGGGAUCGGCCCCUCACCGGGCCGCCCCCGAAAUACAGUGGCGGUAUCGCCGCAGCCUCUCAUGCGCAGUAGUUUGCACACUCGCACCGGGAGCGCGGCGCGGCCACAGCCGUAAAACACCCCAAAUUUUCUGAAAUGUUGACCUCGGAUCAGGUAGGAAUACCCGCUGAACUUAAGCAUAUCAAUAAGCGGAGGCU